CCUACGGGUGGCAGCAGUAGGGAAUAUUGCUCAAUGGGGGAAACCCUGAUGCAGCCAUGCCGCGUGAAGGAAGAAGGCUUUCGGGUUGUAAACUUCUUUUAAGAGGGAAGAGCAGAAUAAGGUACCUCUUGAAUAAGCCACGGCUAACUACGUGCCAGCAGCCGGGGUAAUACGUAGGUGGCAACCGGUGUCCGGAUUUACUGGGUGUAAAGUGCGUGUACCCGGGCUGACAAGUCAGAUGUGAAAUCCCGUGGCUCAACCACGGAACUGCAUUUGAAACUGUUUUUCUUGAGUGCUGGAGAGGCAAUCGGAAUUCCGUGUGUAGCGGUGAAAUGCGUAGAUAUACGGAGGAACACCAGUGGCGAAGGCGGAUUGCUGGACAGUAACUGACGCUGAGGCGCGAAAGCGUGGGGAGCAAACAGGAUUAGAUACCCUAGUAGUC
RNAcentral lists this ribosomal RNA (442 nucleotides) under uncultured bacterium. RNAcentral describes it as "partial 16S ribosomal RNA". It matches the Rfam family "Bacterial small subunit ribosomal RNA", at positions 338 to 795 of the family's 1533-position model. The record is from RNAcentral.